RNAcentral lists this ribosomal RNA (730 nucleotides) under uncultured bacterium. RNAcentral's name for it is "bacterial SSU rRNA". It matches the Rfam family "Bacterial small subunit ribosomal RNA", at positions 771 to 1501 of the family's 1533-position model. The record is from RNAcentral.
AACAGGAUUAGAUACCCUGGUAGUCCACGCCGUAAACGAUGUCGACUUGGAGGUUGUGCCCUUGAGGCGUGGCUUCCGGAGCUAACGCGUUAAGUCGACCGCCUGGGGAGUACGGCCGCAAGGUUAAAACUCAAAUGAAUUGACGGGGGCCCGCACAAGCGGUGGAGCAUGUGGUUUAAUUCGAUGCAACGCGAAGAACCUUACCUACUCUUGACAUCCAGAGAACUUAGCAGAGAUGCUUUGGUGCCUUCGGGAACUCUGAGACAGGUGCUGCAUGGCUGUCGUCAGCUCGUGUUGUGAAAUGUUGGGUUAAGUCCCGCAACGAGCGCAACCCUUAUCCUUUGUUGCCAGCGGUUCGGCCGGGAACUCAAAGGAGACUGCCAGUGAUAAACUGGAGGAAGGUGGGGACGACGUCAAGUCAUCAUGGCCCUUACGAGUAGGGCUACACACGUGCUACAAUGGCAUAUACAAAGAGAAGCGACCUCGCGAGAGCAAGCGGACCUCAUAAAGUAUGUCGUAGUCCGGAUUGGAGUCUGCAACUCGACUCCAUGAAGUCGGAAUCGCUAGUAAUCGUGGAUCUGAAUGCCACGGUGAAUACGUUCCCGGGCCUUGUACACACCGCCCGUCACACCAUGGGAGUGGGUUGCAAAAGAAGUAGGUAGCUUAACCUUCGGGAGGGCGCUUACCACUUUGUGAUUCAUGACUGGGGUGAAGUCGUAACAAGGUAACC